Myotis lucifugus (little brown bat) is the source of this 307-nucleotide unclassified non-coding RNA. Its record names the gene 7SK. It matches the Rfam family "7SK RNA". Rfam says of the family: 7SK was discovered as an abundant small nuclear RNA in the mid-70s but a possible function has only recently been suggested. Two independent studies have found that 7SK RNA binds the CDK9/cyclin T complex (known as elongation factor P-TEFb). P-TEFb activates transcription by phosphorylating the C-terminal domain of RNA polymerase II. The record is from Ensembl. NCBI's taxonomy places the organism in Eukaryota, Metazoa, Chordata, Mammalia, Chiroptera, Vespertilionidae.
GAGUAAAGCAAUAGCUGUCCAAUAUGACAAAAUUCAAAAGUGGAUUGAUCGCCAGGGUUGAUUCGGCUGAUCUGGCUGGCUAGGCGGGUGUCCCCCUCCUCCCUCACAGAUCAUGUGCGUCCUUCCCGAAGCUGCGCCCUUGGUUGAAGAGGACAACCUUCCCCCCACCCCCGAGGAGAGGACCAGUCUUCGGUCAAGGGUAUACGAGUAGCUGCGCUCCCCUGCAAGAACCUCCAAACAAGCUCUCAAAAGUGGUAUGGUUAUGGAUUUGCUUAAAAUGCAGUUGAUAAAACGUUUGCUUUCCUAU